RNAcentral lists this ribosomal RNA (119 nucleotides) under Triticum aestivum (bread wheat). The record is from RNAcentral. Lineage: Eukaryota; Viridiplantae; Streptophyta; Magnoliopsida; Poales; Poaceae.
GGAUGCGAUCAUACCAGCACUGAAGCACCGGAUCCCAUCAGAAGUCCGAUGUUAAGCGUGCUUGGGCGAGAGUAGUACUAGGAUGGGUGAUCUCCUGGGAAGUCCUCGUGUUGCAUUCC